This 236-nucleotide long non-coding RNA is filed under the name Aquila chrysaetos chrysaetos. Its description in RNAcentral is "lncRNA (ENSACCG00020005639.1)". Lineage: Eukaryota; Metazoa; Chordata; Aves; Accipitriformes; Accipitridae. The record is from RNAcentral.
CCUGAGGUCCCUGGGAGGAACAUGAAUCUCUCCUCAUAAGUCUGCAUAUUUCCCGUCUCUGCUCCCUUAAGGUCUCUGACUUCCAGCCAGGGAGGACAGAUUGUCUAGAGGCUGUUGCAGGCUCAGCACCCACAGGUGGAACCAGUUUUUCAAGAGUGCCAACGCAUGCCUGGUCAUAGGACUACUAUAAACACAUGAAUGUUUGGGACAAGCCACCUCCACAGCACUGAUUCUGC